UGUUAUUACUAAACUUGCUAUGAUGCUUUUUAAAAUACCUAACUCUAGAUCUUCUAUUCUAGACCAUUAAGUGAUUUAGUAUAGGCCCAUGAAGAGCAUUACAAGAAUCAUCUGAGAAAGUAUAUUUUUCCACUGAUAAAUGAUAUGUUUCAUGUAAAACAGAAAUAGGGACAAAAUAAGUAUAAUUGUUUUUCACCUAUGGAAAAAAAAACAAAAACAAGUUUAUGUGUUCCUGAAUUAUAACCUCUGCAAGGAAUUAUAACCAGUGAUCUAUAUUUGUUCUCUGUUCAAGUUGACAUACAUGUAUUUUAAAGGAUAUGAACUUUUUCCUGAUGAGUUUUGGUGAUGGCAGUAAGAGAUAAAACCAAUAAAAAGAGUCACAUACUUACAUCUGUCAAGCCGUGACCCUGGCUCCCACCUCUAACAGAGGCGCCCCACUGUACAAAGAAGAGCAAAGAGCAGAACAAUAUCUACCUGCAGCAACUGCCAUUCUAAGAUGUCAACUCAGUGUAUGAUUUGCAGAUGUCGAGGUCACCAAAAAGACAUGACUCACAUAGGCCCUGGAUGGAAUGAUGUUUU
Molecule: long non-coding RNA, 579 nt
Organism: Mustela erminea (ermine)
Lineage: Eukaryota; Metazoa; Chordata; Mammalia; Carnivora; Mustelidae
Exons: 5
Source: RefSeq, a predicted model, not a curated record